GUUUCUAAUUAUUCUUAACUUUGAAAGUUUUGAUUGGGGUUCCCCCUAGAAUCU
RNAcentral lists this transfer RNA (54 nucleotides) under Tyrophagus putrescentiae. RNAcentral describes it as "tRNA-Ser". The record is from RNAcentral. Lineage: Eukaryota; Metazoa; Arthropoda; Arachnida; Sarcoptiformes; Acaridae.